GCAAAUGGCGCAUGAGAGUAACAUCAACUCUGGAUCCUCUGCUUGGUGGAGAACGGAUUUCAUUCCGUAUAUCAGUUUGCAGAUAUACUUUGUGAAAGGCGUGUCAGGGAGACGUCCCCAGUUGGCCAGUGUCCCAUGUGAAGAAAUGUAUCCACUGAGAAACUAUGCACUGGGAGAUGCACUGGAACUUCAACUGAGCAUCUGGGACACCACAGACAUUGUCAUUGUAAGGACACCGUGCACCAAAAACUCUGUACACAAAUGCAUUAAUAAUGCCAGUCAGCU
This is a long non-coding RNA of Brienomyrus brachyistius, 285 nucleotides long. RefSeq lists it as uncharacterized. The transcript is spliced from 3 exons. The record is from RefSeq and is a predicted model, not a curated record. Lineage: Eukaryota; Metazoa; Chordata; Actinopteri; Osteoglossiformes; Mormyridae.